Molecule: long non-coding RNA, 385 nt
Filed under: Homo sapiens (human)
Lineage: Eukaryota; Metazoa; Chordata; Mammalia; Primates; Hominidae
Description: HSALNT0026809
Source: RNAcentral
AUGCUGUCUUGUUAUAUAAAUGACCCUGUGUUUGUUGCACAAGUUCUAGUAUGCAAAAAUGUGGAAAGUCCUCCCUCCCUGAUUCAGGAGGCACAGUGAAGUACAGGCAUUUUCUUUACUUGUACUUGUAAUUUUCUUUUCAUCUUCUUUCUCCUCUUUCUUCUGCAGACAUAUUCGAGUGGUUAGCAGUCUAUUUUUGAGACGUAAGAAGUGAAGAUCAGACGUCUUCUCCAGUAACUCACCUUUAGCCAAUCAAAGCACAGAAUCAUAGUUUCUGCCUGGGCCAUGGUCCUGCCUCCCUCUGUCACCUUUGAGUUCCACGUGCUGUCGGCCCAUCUCAAACUCAUGACACAAUUGUUGACACAUAGAUGGUAGCCAGUGCUUG